GCGCAGCGACCAGAACUUGGCCGAGAGAGAGAGAGAGAUUGGCAUUGGGGUGAACGGCUCCAACAGAGAGAGAAAGAGGAAGACCGACAGUUUUUGAGAAGAGAGAGAGAGUGGGCUUGAUUAAUUUUAAUUUUAUUGGGCUUCUUUCACUUAUUUUUUUAUUUGGACUCUUUUGUUUUAAUUGGGCUUUCUUUAUUGUAAUUGGGCCUUUCUCUUUUAAAUUAUGAAUUGGGCCUCUGAUUUUAUUUAUAUGGGCCGAUUUUAAUUACUGAUUGGGCCUCUGAAUUUAUUUCAGUUGGGCCUUGGUUA
RNAcentral lists this long non-coding RNA (309 nucleotides) under Salvia miltiorrhiza (redroot sage). Its description in RNAcentral is "long non-coding RNA (SMIL_LNC009080)". The record is from RNAcentral. Lineage: Eukaryota; Viridiplantae; Streptophyta; Magnoliopsida; Lamiales; Lamiaceae.